Long non-coding RNA from Varanus komodoensis (Komodo dragon), 194 nucleotides. RefSeq lists it as uncharacterized. The record is from RefSeq and is a predicted model, not a curated record. The transcript is spliced from 2 exons. NCBI's taxonomy places the organism in Eukaryota, Metazoa, Chordata, Lepidosauria, Squamata, Varanidae.
AAAGUCUCAAAGCCAGGAGAGAAGUGGAGAAGCCUCCAAUGAGACUCCACCAAAACUGCAAAAUGACAAUCUGCAGGAGGAGGCAAAAACAGAAAAGGUGGAGCUGCUGGAGCAGCACUGCAGGGACAGUGGCCACCCACAAGACCACCAGGAAAAAGGGGAGUGCCUCAGCGAAGCUCCCCCAGCCGAGGUAG